Stereum hirsutum FP-91666 SS1 is the source of this 99-nucleotide non-coding RNA. The record is from the annotation of a RefSeq genome assembly. Lineage: Eukaryota; Fungi; Basidiomycota; Agaricomycetes; Russulales; Stereaceae.
UCCCUGGUAGUAUAUCGGAUUAGUACACGCGCCUGUCAUGCCGGAUUGCAAGAUGAUAUUUGUACGCGCGAGAGCGGGGUUCGACUCCCCGCCAGGGAG